UACAGAGGGUGCGAGCGUUAAUCGGAAUUACUGGGCGUAAAGCGUGCGUAGACGGUUGGAUAAGUCGGAUGUGAAAGCCCCGGGCUCAACCUGGGAAUUGCAUUCGAGACUGUCCAGCUAGGAUGCGGAAGAGGGAAGCGGAAUUUCCGGUGUAGCGGUGAAAUGCGUAGAUAUCGGAAGGAACACCAGUGGCGAAAGCGGCUUCCUGGUCCAGCAUCGACGUUCAGGCACGAAAGCGUGGGGAGCAAACAGG
RNAcentral lists this ribosomal RNA (253 nucleotides) under uncultured bacterium. Its description in RNAcentral is "partial 16S ribosomal RNA". It matches the Rfam family "Bacterial small subunit ribosomal RNA", at positions 524 to 776 of the family's 1533-position model. The record is from RNAcentral.